RNAcentral lists this long non-coding RNA (222 nucleotides) under Elaeis guineensis (African oil palm). Its description in RNAcentral is "long non-coding RNA (EGUI_LNC031354)". The record is from RNAcentral. Lineage: Eukaryota; Viridiplantae; Streptophyta; Magnoliopsida; Arecales; Arecaceae.
GAUAGAAAUCGAUCUAAAGUAUGAUAGAGAUGAUAUGAAGAUAAACUAUCUUUAAUUAAAAAUGACGAUAUGCCAAGUUUCGAGGAUGAAACUUUUAAUAAGGAGGGUAGAAUGUAAUGCCCAGCCCUAAAAAUUCUUCCUUGUAUAAAUCUUAGGACAUCAAUGAGAAAACAAAAAGAAAACAUUGAAGACUACCGCUAGUAGUCUUCUUCCAUAUGAAUA